RNAcentral lists this ribosomal RNA (460 nucleotides) under uncultured bacterium. RNAcentral describes it as "partial 16S ribosomal RNA". It matches the Rfam family "Bacterial small subunit ribosomal RNA", at positions 338 to 795 of the family's 1533-position model. The record is from RNAcentral.
CCUACGGGAGGCAGCAGUGAGGAAUAUUGGUCAAUGGGCGAGAGCCUGAACCAGCCAAGUCGCGUGAAGGAUGACGGCCCUACGGGUUGUAAACUUCUUUUGUCAGGGAGCAAUUGAGUCCACGUGUGGGCUUAGCGAGAGUACCUGAAGAAAAAGCAUCGGCUAACUCCGUGCCAGCAGCCGCGGUAAUACGGAGGAUGCGAGCGUUAUCCGGAUUUAUUGGGUUUAAAGGGUGCGUAGGCGGAAUAUAAAGUCAGCGGUAAAAAUUCGGGGCUCAACCCCGUCGUGCCGUUGAAACUGGUGGUCUUGAGUGGGCGAGAGGUAUGCGGAAUGCGUGGUGUAGCGGUGAAAUGCAUAGAUAUCACGCAGAACUCCGAUUGCGAAGGCAGCAUACCGGCGCGCAACUGACGCUGAAGCACGAAAGCGUGGGUAUCGAACAGGAUUAGAUACCCCAGUAGUC